Molecule: ribosomal RNA, 279 nt
Filed under: uncultured prokaryote
Description: partial 16S ribosomal RNA
Rfam family: Bacterial small subunit ribosomal RNA
Source: RNAcentral
UACGUAGGGAGCGAGCGUUAUCCGGAUUCAUUGGGCGUAAAGCGCGCGUAGGCGGCUCGGGAAGCGGAACCUCUAACCUUGGGGCUCAACCUCAAGCCGGGUUCCGAACUCCCGGGCUCGAGUCAGGUAGGGGCAGGCGGAAUUCCCGGUGUAGCGGUGAAAUGCGCAGAUAUCGGGAGGAACACCGAUGGCGAAGGCAGCCUUCUGGGCCUAAAGACUGACGCUGAGGUGCGAAAGCGUGGGGAGCGAACAGGAUUAGAUACCCUGGUAGUCCCUGAG